Ictidomys tridecemlineatus (thirteen-lined ground squirrel) is the source of this 241-nucleotide non-coding RNA. NCBI's taxonomy places the organism in Eukaryota, Metazoa, Chordata, Mammalia, Rodentia, Sciuridae. The record is from RefSeq and is a predicted model, not a curated record.
UGGGAAGCUCUUAGAGGAUGCAGGAAGUCAAAUGGCAAAAAAAAAAAAAAAAAGAAUGAAGAUCAUUAGAGGUGCUGAUCACACCAACACAUCAAGAUUACAGUGGCAGGUAUUGUGAUCCAGAAAUCAGGACACCUGAGAUUCAUCUUUGAAUCUCCCCAAACACCAACAGAAGACUGUGGGCCUCAGUUACUUUGCAUGCAAUAAGAAGGUGUUGAACCAGGUCAACUCAUGAACCACA